Solea solea (common sole) is the source of this 715-nucleotide long non-coding RNA. RefSeq lists it as uncharacterized. The transcript has 3 exons. The record is from RefSeq and is a predicted model, not a curated record. NCBI's taxonomy places the organism in Eukaryota, Metazoa, Chordata, Actinopteri, Pleuronectiformes, Soleidae.
CCACACCCACUGAAAUGUUAAUAUAUAUCACCUACACGUAUUUAUAAAGGUUAUUACGACAUGAAAUGUCGUUGAAAGUGGUGGAAUAAGCGUUAUCAAACCGCCAUGUCAGGCAGGUUGUUGCACUCAAGACAGGUUAGCUUGAAGGCGCCGCCAUUUUGUCUCAGUGUGAAACCGGAAUGAAAACUACAUAAACAAGGAAAGUCCCGGGUUUUUUUUUUGGUUAUAACAUGUCGCUUACUUUAAAAAAAAUACACACAUUGAAGGAUUUUGGGUGUUGGAGCAUGUCGGCGGUCGUCUGAGAUGCUUCCCUCUUUGCAGAUGUUGCAGAAGUUCAGCCGCCAUCAGCUCAGCAAACGAUCAUCUAUGGAUCUGGACACUCACACGUCGCUGCUCUUGCUCAUGGCUCUUCUCGCCAAGACUUCCGGCGCCUGCCACUUCCUCAUCUCCAUGACGUCCACCUCCCCCAGUGAACCGGCCCGCGCUGUCCUCCGGUAUACGGAGCCCAGACCCCACAGCUUCACCGUCAGGUCUCCACCAACCAGGACGCUGCUAGCCCCGACGUUGCCAUGAACGUAGCCUUUACUGUGCAGGUAAUCCUACAGUGUGAUGAAGAGGAAGAUGAGGGCAGUUUAUGUGUGUUCAUAUGAGGUCCUGAAACUGAAAUGGAUGCAGAUUUUAACUACUUAAUAAAAGGCUCACCAAAUGAAAUCUU